RNAcentral lists this unclassified non-coding RNA (336 nucleotides) under soil metagenome. RNAcentral describes it as "partial contains 5.8S ribosomal RNA, internal transcribed spacer 2, and large subunit ribosomal RNA". The stretch from base 1 to 120 matches the Rfam family "5.8S ribosomal RNA", at positions 35 to 154 of the family's 154-position model. The record is from RNAcentral.
GAUGAAGAACGUAGCGAAAUGCGAUAAGUAGUGUGAAUUGCAGAAUUCAGUGAAUCAUCGAAUCUUUGAACGCACAUUGCGCCCCAUGGUAUUCCGUGGGGCAUGCCUGUUCGAGCGUCAUUUACCCCCUCAAGCUCCGCUUGGUGUUGGGCGUCUGUCCCGCUUCGCGCGCGGACUCGCCCCAAAGGUAUUGGCAGCGGUCGUGCCAGCUUCUCGCGCAGCACAUUGCGCUUCUCGAGGCACCGGCGGGCCCGCGUCCAUCAAGCUCACCCCCCAGUUUGACCUCGGAUCAGGUAGGGAUACCCGCUGAACUUAAGCAUAUCAAUAAGCGGAUGA